AGGAGUGUAGCUCAGUUUGGUAGAGCAGCGGUCUCCAAAACCGCAUGUCGAGGGUUCGAAUCCUUCCACUCCUGCCA
This 77-nucleotide transfer RNA is filed under the name Dehalococcoidales bacterium. RNAcentral's name for it is "tRNA-Trp". It matches the Rfam family "tRNA". Rfam says of the family: Transfer RNA (tRNA) molecules are approximately 80 nucleotides in length. Their secondary structure includes four short double-helical elements and three loops (D, anti-codon, and T loops). Lineage: Bacteria; Bacillati; Chloroflexota; Dehalococcoidia; Dehalococcoidales. The record is from RNAcentral.